This is a long non-coding RNA of Psammomys obesus (fat sand rat), 2586 nucleotides long. RefSeq lists it as uncharacterized. NCBI's taxonomy places the organism in Eukaryota, Metazoa, Chordata, Mammalia, Rodentia, Muridae. The record is from RefSeq and is a predicted model, not a curated record. The transcript has 5 exons.
UAAGCUAGACACGGGUGAAGACAGAAUGAGCGAGAGAAUCAGAAGGAGCCAGAUUAGAGCAGAUUGCUGAGUUAGUUUGAGGUUAAGCAGAGCAAUUCAUAGGCCAGAAGAGAAAAGCCAGAUUGAUUAACCAGCUUGGAGAGGAGUUUGAGCCAGAACAGCUGAGUUGAACCAGCCAGCUAAGAGUUCAGAAAGAACCAAGAAAGGGUGAGUUUAUUCAGCAGUAAGUCUCAGAGGCUGAAAACAUUCUAGCCUCAGUUAGAGUGUACAGAGGUUAGAAGCUUCCAGGACUAGGACUAGGUUAGCAGACAGGGGCAGUAAGUCUCACAGACAAAAAUUAUCACAGGAGAAUAAAAGCUACUUUUGCAUAUCUCCCCAUUCCAUGUUCAUGAGUGUGAGUUCUGAAUCUUCCACCGCUCUGCUUUUAAUAAUCUGAAACUCGGAGGGGGAAGCUCAGGCCUGCUGACUCAGUGCCUGCUGCAUCUGAAAUAGCUCUGCUUUAGUCCCAAAAUGAUUUAAAUGCAUCUAAAUAGCCCUUGGUAAUCUGUUGCUCUUUGGAGCCAUCCAAAAAUUACUAUCCUUCCAUUAUGAAUGUCUUCAGAAAACUCUUCUCCCUUCAUCAUUAGAUAAUCGAUCAUUUCGUUUAUCUGAUGAGGAGAGCUGUGGGAUCUGAGGCCUUUAGGAGAGCCACUUCCCAAUCCUUGUAUAAAUAAGUUCUAGAGUUGGAACCCAGGGUCAUCCAGGAGCAAAGUUCAUACUGAUGGAGCUUGACAGAAGCCUGCUCAAGAGCCCCCUGAAGCCAUUUGUGGUAGUUCAGGCCUGUGCCUCCAGCACCUGACCAACUGAAGCAAGAAGAUUUAAAGUGGGAAGCCAACCUGGACUUCGUAGUGACAGGAUGUUUCAAACUAAGAAGAAAAUGGAGUUCUUUGAAAGCCACUCUACUAAAGGACAAAGAGUAUUUUAAGUAACAAAAGGAAGGAGUUGUGUUCUGUGUAAUUUCUACUGUGGACACACAUCCUCGCCUCCUGAUAUACCUGCUCUGAUUCCAAGUGGUUAAUUUUUCUGAUAUGCCAAAAAGACAUGCCUCCUCUAUCUUCUAGAACAGUCUAUGUAUGAAAGACCUUAAAUUUCAGGUUCCAACAUGCCUCCAACCUGGAUGGGGAGUGCUAUAGUUUGGGUCUGGAAUUUCCCCAAUGGCCCACACACUAAGGCUUAGUCCCUAGCUUGUCACUAUUGGGAGGUAGCCAAAACAUUAUGAAAUGAGACCUUACCAGAGGAUGCUGGGUCGUUGGGGCUAUGCCAUCAAAGGAAAUAGUGGUGCGUCAUCCCUCCCACUUUCUCUCUUUAACAUACCAGCUUCCAUGAAGCAGCCAUCCUCCACCCCUAGGCACCCCUCUCCGAUAUCCUGCUUUGACAAAAAGCACAAAAUCCUGCAUCGACAGUUGAUCCUGGAAUGAGCCGAAAUGAAGGCUUUCCUUUUGUGAGUUAAUUAACACAAAUAGGACGAGUCCUUGUGAUCCCUCAAAAGGAAUCAAGCAUAAGCUCAUCCUAGGGUUGUACUUGGGGCAUUGCUAGCUGGGUGCCUGCAUGGCUUCUCACUGGUGGAUGGAGCCCGUGCAGGUCAGGACAAGCAAGAGCCACAUCAGUUAGCAUGAAGUAGCACCUUUAUACAUUUAGACACGUGGAAUAUGGACCUCCAUAGCCGCUCCCACAUCCUGCGAAAGGAGCUCCAGAAAACACUGUGUCCCAGAAAUACAGUUCCUUCGUUAAGUUCAGCCGCUUUAGACUCUGAAAAUAGUUCUGAUUUCAUUCACUCGGCUACUUUGGAGUUCAGAAGACACUCGUGGCUAGAAGCUUUAACUAGCUCUGGAGUACAGAAAGGACCUGUCUGGUCAUGAAAGAAAAUCUGGUAGUCAAACACCCCUGCAGAGAUAAUGACAGCCAGGGACCGGGGCCAGGUUACUACACCUUAGGAGACUCGAACUUGAACUUGAAGGUCAAGUGAGAACACUAGGCUCCCCGUGGAGGAAAAGAAACAGCACUGGGCUGUUUUAGCAUCUGUUGACAAGACUUUUUUAGCUGAAGAUAUUGGGCAGGGGCCAUUUCAUUUCCCUGGAGGUCUGAGGAUUUAUGGCGUUGUCACCUGAAAUUCCACAACUUUCUUUCUCUGGUGCUACGGAGGUGGGCUCCCCAACCCACCAAAACACUCACUGGUGGCUCACCAAUUCCUGCCCCAAUCCUGCCUCAGACAUCGUCUUUCUGAGAAAAAGAAGGCAAAUUGGCCCAGAGAAGAGAACAGAAGACACCUGUGAAAUAAUUGUGGCAAAUGAGUUUCAGAGGUUCAGUCCAUUCUUGUCAUGGCGGGAAGCACGGCAGCGUGCAGGCAGACAUGGUGCUGGAGAAGGAGCUGAGAGUUCUACAUCUUGAUCAGCAGGCAGCAGGAGGGGACUGUGUCAUCGGAUGGAUCUUGAGUGUAGAGACCUCAAAGCCCACCACCACAGUGGCACACUUCCUCCAACAAGGCCACACCUCCUAAGAGUGGGUUGGUACCCCUUGGGGGCCUCCCCUUCUCUGAGAAGAAGAAGA